Gallus gallus (chicken) is the source of this 1148-nucleotide long non-coding RNA. The record is from Ensembl. NCBI's taxonomy places the organism in Eukaryota, Metazoa, Chordata, Aves, Galliformes, Phasianidae.
CACUGCAACAAACACUGGACUGUGCACGCAGCUUAAUAAUAGUCUUUGGAAUAGUUCUUUAUAAUGAGUGUAGCAGAACAGAUAAGCGUGGAGAAUGAAGAUCUCCAUGUAGACAGGGCAGGGGUGUAGGACAACCAGUGGCAGAGCAAUCAUAGAAUUGCUUAGGUUGGAAAAGACUUUAAAGAUCACCUCGUCCAACCACAAUCUGACCAUACUACCCUAAGUUAGCUUACUGCCCUAACUUAGAUUUACACCAGCUUCAAAUGCUGAGCUGAAAGCACGCACACAGAGGUGCAUGCACCAGGUUGUGUGAGCGACUGAAGACGCUUGGACAGCAGUGUGGAGAAUGGCAAUUUUAAGAACUUCUCCAUUGGAAAGCAAAAAUGAGUUGAAGCCAUCUGUUUCAGAAAGAACACUUCUGCAGAAUGUAGAACACUUCUAUAGAAGUUUCUGUUCCACGGAAAACCUGAAUGUUGCUAACCCUUCUGAGAACCACUAAUUAACUCCAAUUUCUACUACUCUUGGCAGAUGUUCAGGGUGCUCAGCAUCUCACAAGGAUUUUACCAUGAAUCUCACCAGAAUGGAGCAUCUAAUUUAACCCAAACAAAAUUAAUUUGCUGUGUUGAAUCUGAGGCAGCAACCAUCUCACGAGAGAGAGUCUAACCUAUAAAAGAAUAGCUACAGUGCAGAGCUUGGGUAUCCUCAGGACACAACGACGGGACCAAAUGAGGAUACAGAGUGCAGGAUCUGCAAAUUAAAAUGCUUCAAUUUUCACAGACUUUCACAAGCCUUAAAUGGAGUUACCUCCCCUGCAUCAAUGGAAGUGAAAGGAGAAUUUUGUUCCCUGAUCUGUUAUGAACAUAUAAUCAAACAAAGAAUUUGGCUGCGGGCCUUUUUGACGGCAUUUUAUAUUAUACUUUAUUAGAAGGAGUCACGAGUUGAAGUGAAUAAUUCUGCCUGAGGGAGGAAAUUGGGUACAUACAGUGUGCAGAUACAAGCCUAGUUCUGAAAAUUCACAAACCCAUCAGAACCGAUGGCACCAUCUUAUUUCUUAAAUCCAAAGAAGAACACCACUCCGUACUCCUGUUGUACUGAAUCCAUCCGGAGUUCUCUACCGCUUGGUAUGUAAAGCUGUGCUUUGAGGAGGG